AACAAGGUUCCAAAAAGAGGAGUUAGAGAAAGAACUGAAGUAGUUGAAGGGGUUUGCCACCCGAUAAGAAGAACAAUAUCAACCAACCAACCCCCUUCCCUCGAUCUUCCAUGGACUAAACAACCAUCCCAAGAAUACACAAGGAUGAGCCUAUGGCUCCAUCUACAUAUGAAGCAGAGGAUAUCCUUUUCAGGCACCAAUGGGAGCAAAUGCCCUUGGUCCUGUCAAGGCUUGAUGCCCCAGUGUAGGGAACUGUCAGAAUGGGCAGGUUGGAAGGAGUGAGUGGGUGAGUGAGGAACUGCCCUCAGAACAGGAGGCAUGAGGGGAAAUAAUAGCCGGUUUCUAGAGGGCAAAUCAGGAAAGGGGAUAAUAUUUAAAAUGUGAAUUAAAAACAUCCCCUCCCCCAAUGAAAGAAAAAGAAAGAGAAAUAGAGAAAGAAAAAGAAAAACAAAUGGGGGUACAUAACUAAACAGAUGCCCACUGGCGAUGCAGCGAUGUUAUUCCCAUGAUAGUCAAGCAUCUUCUGGGAAACCAUAGUCUUUGUGUUCUGGGGGGAGUAUGGUGGCAAAGCUGAAACUUAACGGAAUUGAUGGAAGGGCACCACCAGGAGUGGAGCCUGCAGCUUAAUUUGACUCAACACGGGAAACUUCACCCGGCCCGGACACAGACAGGAUUGACAGAUUGAUAGCUCUUUCUCGAUUCCGUGGGUGGUGGUGCAUGGCCAUACUUAGAUGGUGCAGCGAUAUGUCUGGUUAAUUCUGAUAACGAACUAGACUCUGGCAUGCUAACUAGUUACGCGACGCCCUGAGCGGUCGGCGUCCCCCAACUUCUUAGAGGGACAAGUGGCGUUCAGCCACCCAAGAUUGAGCAAUAACAGGUCUGUGAUGUCCUUAGAUGUCCGGGGCUGCACGAGCGCCACACUGACUGACUCAGCGUGUGCCUACCCUACAAAGGCAGGCGCGGGUAACCCAUUGAACCUCAUUCGUGAUGGAGAUCGGGGAUUGCAAUUAUUCCCCAUGAACGAGGAAUUCCCAGUAAGUGCCAGUCAUAAGCUUGUGUUGAUUAAGUCCCUGCCGUUUGUACACACCACCCUUCGCUACUACCGAUUGGAUGGUUUAGUGAGGCUUGAGAUUGGAUGGUUUAGUGAGGCCUGAUCGGCCCAUGGCCCUGUCGGAGGGCUGAGAAGAAGGUCGAACUUGACUAUCUAGAGGAAGUAAAGUCAUAACAAGGUUUCUGUAGGUGAACCGGUGGAAG
This 1254-nucleotide ribosomal RNA is filed under the name Rattus norvegicus (Norway rat). Its description in RNAcentral is "bacterial SSU rRNA". The stretch from base 331 to 1254 matches the Rfam family "Eukaryotic small subunit ribosomal RNA". The record is from RNAcentral. Lineage: Eukaryota; Metazoa; Chordata; Mammalia; Rodentia; Muridae.